Molecule: ribosomal RNA, 301 nt
Filed under: uncultured bacterium
Lineage: Bacteria
Description: partial 16S ribosomal RNA
Rfam family: Bacterial small subunit ribosomal RNA
Source: RNAcentral
CAGUCGCCGCGGUAAUACGAAGGUUGCAAGCGUUAAUCGGAAUUACUGGGCGUAAAGCGUGCGUAGGCGGUUUGUUAAGUCUGCUGUGAAAUCCCCGGGCUCAACUCGAAGUCUGCACGGAAAACUGCCGGGCUUGAGUAAGGGAGAGGUGAGUGGAAUUUCCGGUGUAGCGGUGAAAUGCGUAGAUAUCGGAAGGAACACCUGUGGCGAAAGCGGCUCACUGGACCAUAACUGACGCUGAGGCGCGAAAGCUAGGGGAGCAAACAGGAUUAGAUACCCGCGUAGUCCCUGUCUCUUAUAC